This 310-nucleotide ribosomal RNA is filed under the name uncultured bacterium. RNAcentral describes it as "partial 16S ribosomal RNA". It matches the Rfam family "Bacterial small subunit ribosomal RNA", at positions 503 to 807 of the family's 1533-position model. The record is from RNAcentral.
AAGAGACAGCAGCAGCCGCGGGAAAACGGAGGGUGCAAGCGUUAUCCGGAUUUAUUGGGUUUAAAGGGUCCGUAGGCGGAUCUGUAAGUCAGUGGUGAAAUCUCACAGCUUAACUGUGAAACUGCCAUUGAUACUGCAGGUCUUGAGUAAAUUUGAAGUGGCUGGAAUAAGUAGUGUAGCGGUGAAAUGCAUAGAUAUUACUUAGAACACCAAUUGCGAAGGCAGGUCACUAAGAUUUAACUGACGCUGAUGGACGAAAGCGUGGGGAGCGAACAGGAUUAGAUACCCGAGUAGUCCCUGUCUCUUAUAC